GACGAACGCUGGCGGCGUGCUUAACACAUGCAAGUCGAACGAUGACGACCGAGCUUUCUCGGUCUGAUUAGUGGCGAACGGGGGAGUAACACGUGAGCAACCUGCCCUUCACUCUGGGAUAACCCCGGGAAAUCGGGGCUAAUACCGGAUAUGAGCUCCUGUCGCAUGGCGGGCGUUGGAAAGAGUUUCGGUGAUGGAUGGGCUCGCGGCCUAUCGGUUUGUUGGUGAGGUAGUGGCUCGCCAAGGCUAAGCAGGGUAGCCGGCCUGAGAGGGCGACCGGGCACACUGGGCCUGCGACACGGCCCAGACUCCUACGGGAGGCAGCAGUGGGGAAUAUUGCACAAUGGGCGCAAGCCUGAUGCAGCGACGCCGCGUGAGGGAUGACGGCCUUCGGGUUGUAAACAUCUUUCAGCAGGGAAGAAGCGAAAGUGACGGUACCUGCAGAAGAAGCGCCGGCUAACUACGUG
This 467-nucleotide ribosomal RNA is filed under the name uncultured bacterium. RNAcentral's name for it is "partial 16S ribosomal RNA". It matches the Rfam family "Bacterial small subunit ribosomal RNA", at positions 28 to 507 of the family's 1533-position model. The record is from RNAcentral.